GAUAUAACCCGGCUUGUGAUGCCCCCGCAGGAUCGCAGAUAUCGAUGGGUGCUAACCGGCAGGACGCCGGUUAAGCCUGCCCGCGGCCAUGGAUGGCCGCUGCAGGCGUGCCCCAAUCGGUAUCAAGAGACAAGGAUCAGGGCAUCACGCCGGAAAAGGGG
Molecule: non-coding RNA, 161 nt
Organism: Oceanobacter sp.
Lineage: Bacteria; Pseudomonadati; Pseudomonadota; Gammaproteobacteria; Oceanospirillales; Oceanospirillaceae
Source: Rfam